GAGUGUCUCACCUGCAUCUCUGGCCUUCCAGGUUGUUGGAUAUGGGAAGUAUGAACUGGAAGAGGACGGCGCUCCCGUUUGUGAGGAUCCGAAUUCUCGUGAAGGGAUGCAGCUAAUCUACCUGCCACCCUCUCCUCUCCUGGCAGAGUCCACCACCCCCAUUACUGACAUCAGGGCCUUCACAGCGACGCUCAGCCUCUUCCCCUACCAUAAGAUAGUCAAAUAAACUGCAGUCUCACUGGCCUGAAGCAACUUGUAUUAAAG
RNAcentral lists this long non-coding RNA (264 nucleotides) under Rattus norvegicus (Norway rat). RNAcentral describes it as "long non-coding RNA NONRATT022480". The record is from RNAcentral. Lineage: Eukaryota; Metazoa; Chordata; Mammalia; Rodentia; Muridae.